RNAcentral lists this long non-coding RNA (297 nucleotides) under Olea europaea (common olive). RNAcentral describes it as "long non-coding RNA (OEUR_LNC002583)". Lineage: Eukaryota; Viridiplantae; Streptophyta; Magnoliopsida; Lamiales; Oleaceae. The record is from RNAcentral.
UUCAACCAAUUCCCAAGUAUGGUUACUCAUGAUGGAUUCAAUUUCAUUGUGUACAGCUUCUUUCCAAAAAGGAGCUUCGGGAGAGGACAUUGCUUCAUCAAAUGUCCUAGGAUCAUUUUCAAGUAAAUUGGUUACGAAUUUUGGACCGAAUGUCUUUGGAAUUCGUUGCCUUUUACUACAUCUCGGUUCUUCAUUUACUUGAAGAUCAUCAUUCUUUCCAUGUAUGUUAUCAUAAGUUCGUUUAUUUGAACCUACUUCCUUUUCUUUACAAGGAAAACUGUCUUCAAAGAAGACCGC